RNAcentral lists this ribosomal RNA (468 nucleotides) under uncultured bacterium. Its description in RNAcentral is "partial 16S ribosomal RNA". It matches the Rfam family "Bacterial small subunit ribosomal RNA", at positions 28 to 507 of the family's 1533-position model. The record is from RNAcentral.
GACGAACGCUGGCGGCGUGCUUAACACAUGCAAGUCGAACGGAAAGACCCUGCUUUUGUGGGGUGCUCGAGUGGCGAACGGGUGAGUAACACGUGAGUAACCUGCCCUUGACUUUGGGAUAACUUCAGGAAACUGGGGCUACUACCGGAUAGGAGCUCCUGCUGCAUGGUGGGGGUUGGAAAGUUUCGGCGGUUGGGGAUGGACUCGCGGCUUAUCAGCUUGUUGGUGGGGUAGUGGCUUACCAAGGCUUUGACGGGUAGCCGGCCUGAGAGGGUGACCGGCCACAUUGGGACUGAGAUACGGCCCAGACUCCUACGGGAGGCAGCAGUGGGGAAUAUUGCACAAUGGGCGGAAGCCUGAUGCAGCAACGCCGCGUGCGGGAUGACGGCCUUCGGGUUGUAAACCGCUUUCGCCUGUGACGAAGCGUGAGUGACGGUAAUGGGUAAAGAAGCACCGGCUAACUACGUG